UUAAGUUCAGCGGGUAUCCCUACCUGAUCCGAGGUCAACCAUAGAAAAAUUUGGGGUUGUUGGCAAGCAACCGCCGGGACCCUGUAGCGAGAAGAAUUACUACGCUUAGAGCCAGACGGCACCGCCACUGAUUUUAAGAGCUGCCCAGAGGCAGGCUCCAACACCAAGCUAGGCUUGAGGGUUAUAAUGACGCUCGAACA
This 200-nucleotide unclassified non-coding RNA is filed under the name Helotiales sp. RNAcentral's name for it is "partial internal transcribed spacer 2". The record is from RNAcentral. Lineage: Eukaryota; Fungi; Ascomycota; Leotiomycetes; Helotiales.